GAGGUAGGUAGGUGCCUGCCCUCGCAACAGGGGAGGCUUACAGAGCCACAGCUGGUGGCCGGUUGUAUGUGAGGUUUCUUUCUCCUUCCUUAGUUUGAUUUUCAGUAUUUCCUUGAUGAUCUUUACACUCUGAAUCUUCAAGCUAAGGCUGAAUUUCCUGUUUGGCUGACAGCAUCGUUGAGUGACACAACAGAGGGUUGAGCAUGGGGCUUCAGUGCAGACUGGACUCUGACGCGUGUGCACAGCUGGAUCCCAAUCCAAAGCCUUCUGGUGCCACUUUCAUAGAGAGCAGGAAGCUCACGACAGGAAAAGUGACCUGACCAAGCCUUCCCCGUCAGUGAGCUGGCUCUGUCUGUUCCAUCUGCUCAUUCGGGAAUCUGUCUGACAGGUACUAUGGCUGGAGAGAACUUCUGUCCUUCCCGGGGCCUCGGGGA
This 434-nucleotide long non-coding RNA is filed under the name Fukomys damarensis (Damara mole-rat). Its description in RNAcentral is "lncRNA (ENSFDAG00000029725.1)". Lineage: Eukaryota; Metazoa; Chordata; Mammalia; Rodentia; Bathyergidae. The record is from RNAcentral.